This 217-nucleotide ribosomal RNA is filed under the name uncultured bacterium. RNAcentral's name for it is "partial 16S ribosomal RNA". It matches the Rfam family "Bacterial small subunit ribosomal RNA", at positions 328 to 539 of the family's 1533-position model. The record is from RNAcentral.
ACGCUCGACACCUAUGGGAGGCAGCAGUGAGGAAUAUUGGUCAAUGGGCGCAGGCCUGAACCAGCCAAGUAGCGUGAAGGAUGACUGCCCUAUGGGUUGUAAACUUCUUUUAUAUGGGAAUAAAGUUUUCCACGUGUGAAUUUUGUAUGUACCAUAUGAAUAAGGAUCGGCUAACUCCGUGCCGGCAGCCGCGGUAAUCUGAGCGGGCUGGCAAGGC